This is a long non-coding RNA of Herpailurus yagouaroundi (jaguarundi), 2500 nucleotides long. RefSeq lists it as uncharacterized. The transcript is spliced from 4 exons. The record is from RefSeq and is a predicted model, not a curated record. NCBI's taxonomy places the organism in Eukaryota, Metazoa, Chordata, Mammalia, Carnivora, Felidae.
CUGUUUCUCGUGAGGGCUGCCCGUGGGAACCUGGCUGGCACUCCUGCGUGGGCACCUGUGACGUUUAGGAGGGCUGACAUCUCGUGGACCAACGCUCAGCCGUGGGGAGAUGGGCACUGGUGGCGGGUACUCUUCCCGGAUCCCUAUCCCUCUACCUGGUUGACCUCCCAACAUCAGCUACCUGCACACCACCCUUCUCCGAAGCCGAAUUUUGGGCAGCUCAGGCCUGCCUGCUCAACUGGCCCCGAGCACCCAAAUGCAGACGAGGCAUGUCUCCGUGAUUCUCCGAUUGGAAGUACCCGGCCACCGGUGGCGACCCCAGGAUCUCGCGGCAUCUACUCCUGCAAAGCCGGCUGCUCUGUGCCUGACGCCCGGGGCCGACAGCCAGGCUUAUUUCCGCAUCAGCUGCACCUUGAGGAGCGGAGCACUGAGCGCCACGCUACGGGAGACAUUCUUUAUUUUCCUUUAUUAUUUUCUUUAAGAUUCAGAAUGCAAGGACCUUGGUGUCACCACAACCCUACUUUACAGCUCUUACUAGGACGUAAGUGCCUUGGGGCAGAGCCCGCGUCUCGUUCGUCUUGCUUUUCUAUCCCCCACCACUAGAUCGGACCCAUCGUGGGCCCUUCAUAAAUACAUGAACUGAGUUCACCUGCCUCCCCGCUACCCGGAAUCACAUCCCGCCAACCCGCUGAAGCACUAGCUCUUGCCUGCAUCCUUCGGGGACCCGCCUCUGCCCCAGGAUGAUGCACACUUGAACGGGGAGCUCCUGGAGACUACGCCCUUUGGGCUCAGAGGAAGAAGAAUCUAGAAGUGGAAGGGGAGGCUGUGGGAUCCUCAGGCAUGCACCAGCUACCCACCGCUCUGCUUGGCGGGGCAGGAGCCCGGAGAGCCCUCCUGCCUGAGCAGACCCAGACCCACAAUGUUAUUUUCUAGCAUCUCUGCUGACUCCCGUUGCCGCAGACCAAGCCGUAGAGCCCAGAGCGGUGCGUGGGGCUCGCAGGGCAGAUCCAGGGUGCCUACACAAAGCUGCUCGUUGGCAGGACCCUUCCCAUCCCCUGCCCACUGGAAUCAACUGUCGCUGGAUCUUUCUUGGCUCUGGGCUCUUGGUACAUUUGCAGUGUAUACCUUUGUCUCCCACCUGCCUCACUUUUAGGCUCCCACGCGUGCAGGGUGCACCUGGCUGCGCCCCCCCCCCCCCGCCCUUGCACUCCACGCCUCUCUGCUGUGCUCCCCGUGAUCCGCCCCUGGGCUCGGCCGGCCAGCCUGAACCCCAUCAAAGGCAGGCUUAAAAAAAAAAAGAAAAACAAACCCAUGCUGGAAGAGAAUGAGUGUUUCGGCAUAGAAACAGAAACGGCCUAAGGAAAGAGCAUGUAGAUGAGAGCAUCACAGCACGGGGGGCCGUCUGUGCUGUUGCCCGGCCUGCGCAGGACCCAGGACGGCUUCUCCAGAUCCCAGCCAGAGGCUCAGACAUGUUCUCUCUCCAUGGGGUUCUCUCCCGAGGUGUCCCCGCGGGAGGCGUGGAGCCCACGUUCCAGGCAAGCGGAACAGAAGCACGGACGUCAGCAGUUAGAGUCUCCCAAGGCCCUCCUGCUGGGCUGCUGGGGGCCUAGGUUUGUGCACCGCCCCCCCCCCCAACACUGGCCUUCUUCAGAUACGCUGGGAGCCUCUAUGGACCUCAAAUGCCAGCUUCUCUGAGCUGCUCUGUGUUGCUCUGAAGGGAAGGCAGAUAACAAAGGACCUUGACCGGGCGGUCGCCCUGCCUGAGCCCGUUGAGCAGCACUAAAGCCAGACUCUAAAGGGCUCUCAAGUCAGACCCGGCCCCGGUUCUGAUUGGCUGCAGCACUCUGCUUGCUGGUCCCGCCUCCCGACCCGGGGUCUACCUCAGCGGUCGGCUUGCUUUUCUUGUUAAGGACCAGAUAGCCAAGAUUUUUGGCCGUGAUGUCUUGAGAGCAGCUACUCAACUUGGCCGCUGUAGUGCAGAAGCAGCCAUGGACAACGUAUAAAAAAGCGAGCGUGGUUGUGUUACCCAGAAAGCAGGCAGCCGCCAGAUUUGGCCCACAGUUUGCUGACCCCUGUUCUAAUUUGUAAAACGAGGAUCGUGAAGGUAUUUAUUAGAUAGGACCGUUGCGAAAAUAAGGCUCUUAGCACAGAACGUGACAGACACUAAGUGCUGACGGAUGCCCAUGAGUAACGCUGUGCACCCGGAAUGGGGGCAGGUGUCCGGGCUGAGCACUGAGUUUAUUCUUCUGUAGAGCUCGACGUUCUCCUUUGACUUCUCUGGGCUGUGCAUCUGUAAAAUUCUGUGGUUGCACGGACUAGCGUCGAUGUUCGCGGAAGUCAGACUCGUUCAAGUGAGCAAAUGAUUCUUGAACACUCCAUAUGCCUGAGCCUGGUGGUGCAGGAAGAGGUUGGAGGAAGGGGCACGUCCUGUUAUAUCCACCUCUGAGCAUUUCUAGGCUCUGCUUUUCUGGUUCUGCAUCUUUCCAUCCUUCUCCCACUU